UGGUCGGGUUGAAGAGCGUAGUGCUGUAGCUUCCCGGGGGUCUGGAGUACCGUGAGGGGUUGGUGUUGCUCUGGAUGGGGAUGUCUGGCUGCCUUAGUGCUUCCCGCAGGAUGGGUGUUAUUUAAGAGUUGGGGUUAAAGGAACGAGGGGAUAAAUUCGUUUCCUAAACGAUUUCUUUAUUUUUUUUUUUCAGCCAGCCUGACCUACUUAAUUUCUGACUAAGUUAGAAGAAGCUUUCCCUCGAGGUUUCUUUGUUUUUUUACCCAUUUCAGUAAACAGCUUGAUCCAGGAAAGCAGUCAAUAAAAAGACAAAUGAGUGAUCUGAUAGCUCCGUGCAGAUAAGCAAGGGAAGGGACCAGUGAAAUUACCACAGUGUUAACUUGUAGCUUCCCACAGGGGCUUGUCAGGCAUCUUUAAUCUAAAGAAAGAAUUACAGCAAAGAACUGUGUAUUUACUAGACAGCUAACACAAGUACAACAUUUUAUAACUGGCUACUUCACCCUUGGCCUGGACUUCCUGCGCAGAACUUAUUGUGGUUGGUUUUACAGACAACUUUGUCCCUCCCUUUCCACUGGAGUUUUUGGAGUUCUCCCAGCCACAUGCAUCUUUGUUCCUCGGUGUGUAUGGCCUGUAAUCACAACUUAACAGAUAAAGUGGCUUUUAUACCCCAUUGUAUGGUAACUGCUGAGUCACAGCCUGAACCACUGAUUGAGCACCUGGGGAAAGGAGCCGGUCAGCCCUGGGAGCACAGGUGAAGGCAAUUCAACUGUGUGACUGGAGGGGGUGGAGCCUGGCUGCAUCUCUCUUAGACCUCAUUUCAGGGCUGAUUGCUGCUUGAGAAGGAUUUUUUGGUUGGUGAUCUCUUCUGGGUGAAGCUUUCCCCUCCAAACCUAGUGUCUUCUGAUGCGGGUGAGUGAUCUUCUUUCCUUCGUUUAUUGGACUUUUCUAUUUUGCUGGUUCUUCUGUUAUUGCACAUGCCCUUCCCAUUACAUUGAUCCAUCCAGAUUCUGUGCCCACUAAGUUGAUAGUUCUGUUUGGUUGAAGCCAGCAGUUGGUCUCAGUAAUCAUUGUGGGUCCCCUACAACUCAGGGCAUUCAGUGACUGCAAGAUGCUAAUCAGCAUAAAUGAAGUUGUCAGUAGGAUCCAUAAAUUGUUUUCUUGUUCUUUAGUAUGCUUACUUUGGGUUAAAGCUUUUGAUGGCUCAAGGUCAGAAGAGACCAUUAUGCAUAUCUGCUCAUAUCUGUGUGUAACAGGUAUUGUGAAAUAUUACCCACUAAUACAAUGUGAAGUGUAAUACAUUACAGUUAGUUGAAGCUUUGUCUUUUAGAGAACUAUCAAAAUGGGUUGUUGGAAAAUAUGCUAUUUCAAUAAAAUAUUCUAGUAGUUAAUUGCCUUCAUCUAAAAUUUGAAUCUUCUUCCUUGUUUAGAUUUUUCAAGCUUUGAUUUUCAACCAGUGAAUCUUGUUAUGUCUUUAAUUAAAUAAACCUGAUGCUGAUCUGAUUAAUCUGAUAAUAUGCUUGCCUAUAUUUGUGUCAAUAUGAAAGAAAUGCCUGUAUGUUUUUCUCCAUUUACAUCUCCACCCUCACAACAGUUGUCAGUUUAAGGGAGAUCCUGUACCCCUUCUUUUCUGAGGAAAAGUGAGACAUUGGUAGUUACUUUUCUUUUUCUAGCCAAGGAAAGAACAAAGGAAAUAGUUUUUACCUGCUGCAUUCCUCUUGGUGCCACCUGUUAUUUUGUCCAGCCAAAGAAAGAAAGAAAGUCCUAGUGAGUAAACACGCACUCUAUCCUGUGUUAAAAUCCAUAGAAACCCUGGUGUGGCUGUCAGUUGUUUCUUAUUUGAAGUGAAAAACAAAACCCUCUUUCUGUAUUAGCAGUUAAUGGCAUUGACAUUGCUGAAUGGUCAAUUCAGUUCAGUAUC
Coturnix japonica (Japanese quail) is the source of this 1918-nucleotide non-coding RNA. The record is from RefSeq and is a predicted model, not a curated record. NCBI's taxonomy places the organism in Eukaryota, Metazoa, Chordata, Aves, Galliformes, Phasianidae.